GUCGAGAAUCUUCCGCAAUGCGCGAAAGCGUGACGGAGCGACACCGCGUGAUGGAUGAAGUCCUUCGGGGCGUAAACAUCUUUUAUAAAGGAGGAAAUUUUUGACGUUACUUUAUGAAUAAGGGGCUCCCAAUCUCGUGCCAGCAGGAGCGGUAAUACGAGAGCCUCAAGCGUUAUCCGGAAUCAUUGGGCGUAAAGGGUGCGUAGGUGGUUUGAUUAGUCUCCCGUUAAAACUUCGAGCUUAACUCGAAAAGAGCGGGGGAAACGGUCAAACUAGAGUAUGUGAGAGGUGUGUGGAACUCAUGGUGUAGGGGUGAAAUCCGUUGAUAUCAUGGGGAACACCAUAAGCGAAGGCAGCACACUGGCACAUCACUGACACUGAGGCACGAAACCUAAGGUAGCGAAUGGGAUUAGAUACCCCUGUAGUCC
Molecule: ribosomal RNA, 428 nt
Filed under: uncultured bacterium
Lineage: Bacteria
Description: partial 16S ribosomal RNA
Rfam family: Bacterial small subunit ribosomal RNA
Source: RNAcentral